RNAcentral lists this long non-coding RNA (1105 nucleotides) under Phasianus colchicus (ring-necked pheasant). Its description in RNAcentral is "lncRNA (ENSPCLG00000013526.1)". Lineage: Eukaryota; Metazoa; Chordata; Aves; Galliformes; Phasianidae. The record is from RNAcentral.
CACCCAUGGGUGGAACCAUCCCUGCAUCCCUGCCCUGUGAUGUUAACACCCAAACACUUGCACCCCACAGGUGCCCAGGGGCGGUCCCAUGGGAACCUGGUGGUGGCGGUGGUGAGGGGCUGUGCUGCUGUCUUGGUCUUCAGCCUGGGCCUCUACUUCGUCCUCGAUGCCCGCAGCCUCUGGACAAGGAGAGAUAAGAGCCCUGAUCUUUAAGGACCACCAAGUAUUCCAUCGAGACCACGUAUCCUUCAUCUUUCAACUUCCUCUUUUUGAUGCAGUUGUCACCCCUGAAAUGCUUAAGUCAAUGUCAAUCAAGGUAAGUGUCUGUGUCAGUGGACCCCAAAUCCCCGUUCACCCCUUGGGGCACACAGAGAACAUCACUAUGGAGAUCCACACCCUUCCCAUGAGGCCCACAGAUGAACCCCAGCCUCAUAUGGCUUACUCUGACAUUUAUGUGCCCCACCUGUAUCCAGCUCAUGGGAAAUCCAAAUCUGCAUUGAGGAGAACCCUCAGCCCACAAUCCUAAGUCUCCAGACCCACACAAGCCCUCCAAGCCUUAAUCCCUCCCAGAACAUACAGGCACAUACAACUUGAGAAGAGCGGCCCUAAAUGCACCCACACGGAAUCCAAAUGACCCAUGGGGAACACACACACACAAAAAAGCCCCUCUAUUCCCCCAGUCCCUAGGUACCCCAAGACCAUAGCUGGACCCCAAAUAUCCCCCUUGCAGACCCCCCCGGUACCCCGCAGAACUCCAGACUCACCCUCAUGGUCACAUCCCCCUCAUACCUUCACCAGAGGCCAACCCUCAGCCCACCCAUCUUGGGGACCCCCAUGGUAGCACCCCACUCUCCUCCUGUAUCUCCAGGUGCCCCCCAGGGACAGCGAGGAUGUGACUUACGUCGAGAUGCCAGCUGCCAUCCCGAGCUCCCAGCCUCCCAGUUCCCCCACCGCCAACCAACCCCCCGUUAUCUACACCACAGUGAGCACUGAAUUACCGUGCUGAUGGGCCUCCCAGGUGCCUCAUUUUUGGGGUGUGUGGAAGGGGACAGACCUCAAGUUCCCUGCUUGGGACUCCCUGAUGUCCUGUUCUUAUCUCAGACCA